UAGCUCAGUCAGCUGAGCGUAGCGCUAACAACGUUAAGGUCGCGGGUUUGAUUCCCGU
Molecule: transfer RNA, 58 nt
Filed under: Apaloderma vittatum (bar-tailed trogon)
Lineage: Eukaryota; Metazoa; Chordata; Aves; Trogoniformes; Trogonidae
Rfam family: tRNA
About the family: Transfer RNA (tRNA) molecules are approximately 80 nucleotides in length.
Source: Rfam by way of RNAcentral